GAUGAACGCUGGCGGCGUGCCUAAUACAUGCCAGUCGAGCGAACAGACGAGGAGCUUGCUCCUCUGACGUUAGCGGCGGACGGGUGAGUAACACGUGGAUAACCUACCUAUAAGACUGGGAUAACUUCGGGAAACCGGAGCUAAUACCGGAUAAUAUAUUGAACCGCAUGGUUCAAUAGUGAAAGACGGUUUUGCUGUCACUUAUAGAUGGAUCCGCGCCGCAUUAGCUAGUUGGUAAGGUAACGGCUUACCAAGGCAACGAUGCGUAGCCGACCUGAGAGGGUGAUCGGCCACACUGGAACUGAGACACGGUCCAGACUCCUACGGGAGGCAGCAGUAGGGAAUCUUCCGCAAUGGGCGAAAGCCUGACGGAGUAACGCCGCGUGAGUGAUGAAGGUCUUCGGAUCGUAAAACUCUGUUAUUAGGGAAGAACAAAUGUGUAAGUAACUAUGCACGUCUUGACGGUACCUAAUCAGAAAGCCACGGCUAACUACGUG
Molecule: ribosomal RNA, 497 nt
Filed under: uncultured bacterium
Lineage: Bacteria
Description: partial 16S ribosomal RNA
Rfam family: Bacterial small subunit ribosomal RNA
Source: RNAcentral